AUUAAUAAGCGAAGGAAAAGAAACUAACGAGGAUUUCCUCAGUAACGGCGAGUGAAGCGGAAAGAGCCCAGCACCGAAUCCCCCGCCUUGACGGGCGGCGGGAACUGUGGUGUUAAGGACAGUCCAUGGGGAUCGAUCGGGGGUCCGAGUCCUCCUGAUCGUGGCUUCACCCAGAGCGGGUGUCAGGCCUCUACGGCGCCCGAUCGGUUCUCUAAGAUCGUCCUAGGAGUCGGGUUGUUUGAGACAUGCAGCCCAAAGCGGGUGGUAAACUCCAUCUAAGGCUACAAUACANACACGAGUCCGAUAGCGCACAAGUACCGUGAGGGAAAGUU
Molecule: ribosomal RNA, 332 nt
Filed under: Chamaedrilus sphagnetorum
Lineage: Eukaryota; Metazoa; Annelida; Clitellata; Enchytraeida; Enchytraeidae
Description: eukaryotic LSU rRNA
Rfam family: Eukaryotic large subunit ribosomal RNA
Source: RNAcentral